RNAcentral lists this ribosomal RNA (441 nucleotides) under uncultured bacterium. RNAcentral's name for it is "bacterial SSU rRNA". It matches the Rfam family "Bacterial small subunit ribosomal RNA", at positions 340 to 773 of the family's 1533-position model. The record is from RNAcentral.
UACGGAAGGCAGCAGUGGGGAAUAUUGCACAAUGGGCGCAAGCCUGAUGCAGCCAUGCCGCGUGUAUGAAGAAGGCCUUCGGGUUGUAAAGUACUUUCAGUCGUGAGGAAGGUGUUAAGGUUAAUAACCUUAGCAAUUGACGUUAGCGACAGAAGAAGCACCGGCUAACUCCGUGCCAGCAGCCGCGGUAAUACGGAGGGUGCGAGCGUUAAUCGGAAUUACUGGGCGUAAAGGGCACGCAGGCGGUUAAUUAAGUUGGAUGUGAAAUCCCCGGGCUUAACCUGGGAAUGGCAUUCAAGACUGGUUAGCUAGAGUCUUGUAGAGGGGGGUAGAAUUCCGAUGUGUAGCGGUGAAAUGCGUAGAGAUGUGGAGGAAUACCGGUGGCGAAGGCGGCCCCUGGACAAAGGCUGACGCUCAUGUGCGAAAGCGUGGGGAGCAAAC